This is a non-coding RNA of Paramuricea clavata, 694 nucleotides long. The record is from the annotation of a GenBank genome assembly. Lineage: Eukaryota; Metazoa; Cnidaria; Anthozoa; Malacalcyonacea; Plexauridae.
GUCGGAAUAUUACUAAUUUUGUAAUGCUUUGUCUAGACUUGUCUAGAUCAAAUUUUGUUCAUCGGGGAAUAGGUCCACUAACGUUGUCCUUCCAAAAACGUAAACCUUAAACUCUGAGCAAGUAAAGUAUGUUGGGUUAUUGCUUAUUUAGACUCACAAACUCUUAAAUUUAACCCAUUAAGCUCCAGUGCUCUUCCCUUGAUGAGUAAAAUGGUCUGGCAUUAGACAGAGUAAAAUACUCUGGUGUUAGACAGAGUAAUUAAAAUACUAAAGUAGGGUGCAUCAGGGUGUAUCGCCACUCAAUGGGUUAACUAGACACAUGGGCAGAUAGGCCAGUUAACCCAUUAUAAGCGCCAAUGCUCUCCCCUUGACGAGUAAAAUUGUCUGGCGUUAGACAGAGUAAAAUACUAAAGUAGGGUGCAUCGCCACUCAAUGGGUUAAUUGGCUUUGCAAGAAUGCCUAAGAGACAUAGAAGAUGCACAGUAGAAAACACAAUUCCUACAAAGGCAAUUCUCUAAGUUUAAUUACGGGCCAAAUAUUUGAAAACCAACCCAUCAUCCCUUGCAUGCUCAGAGUUUAAGGCUUAAAGGCCCGUUUACACGGGUAAUUUUUGCUGCAAUUUUCUCCUUUUGGAGGAUGUGAAGGAGUAGAUUACUUAAUGACCUUGUUAUGAAAUUUCAUAACCUGGUACAUU